RNAcentral lists this ribosomal RNA (202 nucleotides) under uncultured Anoxybacillus sp. Its description in RNAcentral is "partial 16S ribosomal RNA". It matches the Rfam family "Bacterial small subunit ribosomal RNA", at positions 1181 to 1382 of the family's 1533-position model. Lineage: Bacteria; Bacillati; Bacillota; Bacilli; Caryophanales; Anoxybacillaceae. The record is from RNAcentral.
AACGUCAAAUCAUCAUGCCCCUUAUGACCUGGGCUACACACGUGCUACAAUGGGCGGUACAAAGGGUCGCGAACCCGCGAGGGGGAGCCAAUCCCAAAAAGCCGCUCUCAGUUCGGAUUGCAGGCUGCAACUCGCCUGCAUGAAGCCGGAAUCGCUAGUAAUCGCGGAUCAGCAUGCCGCGGUGAAUACGUUCCCGGGCCUU